CAGCAGCCACGGUAAUACAGAGGGUGCGAGCGUUAAUCGGAUUUACUGGGCGUAAAGCGUGCGUAGGCGGCUUCUUAAGUCGGAUGUGAAAUCCCUGAGCUUAACUUAGGAAUUGCAUUCGAUACUGGGAAGCUAGAGUAUGGGAGAGGAUGGUAGAAUUCCAGGUGUAGCGGUGAAAUGCGUAGAGAUCUGGAGGAAUACCGAUGGCGAAGGCAGCCAUCUGGCCUAAUACUGACGCUGAGGUACGAAAGCAUGGGGAGCAAACAGGAUUAGAGACCCCCGUAGUCCCUGUCUCUUAUAA
RNAcentral lists this ribosomal RNA (301 nucleotides) under uncultured bacterium. RNAcentral describes it as "partial 16S ribosomal RNA". It matches the Rfam family "Bacterial small subunit ribosomal RNA", at positions 509 to 809 of the family's 1533-position model. The record is from RNAcentral.